UACGUGAGGGGCAAGCGUUGUCCGGAUUUAUUGGGCGUAAAGGAGCGUGUAGGCGGCCUAGACAGGUCUGCUGUGAAAACUCGAACGGCUCAACCUCGAGACGACCGGUGGAAACCGGUCUGGCUAGAGUCCGGAAGAGGAGAGUGGAAUUCCGUGGUGUAGCGGUGAAAUGCGCAGAUAUCAGGAAGAACACCCGUGGCUAAGGCGGCUCUCUAGUACGGUACUGACGCUGAGACGACG
RNAcentral lists this ribosomal RNA (240 nucleotides) under uncultured bacterium. RNAcentral's name for it is "partial 16S ribosomal RNA". It matches the Rfam family "Bacterial small subunit ribosomal RNA", at positions 524 to 755 of the family's 1533-position model. The record is from RNAcentral.